AACGAACGCUAGCGGCAUGCCUAACACAUGCAAGUCGAACGAGACCUUCGGGUCUAGUGUCGCACGGGUGCGUAACGCGUGGGAACCUGCCCUUAGGUUCGGAAUAACUCCCCGAAAGGGGUGCUAAUACCGGAUAAUGUCUUCGGACCAAAGAUUUAUCGCCUUUGGAUGGGCCCGCGUUGGAUUAGCUAGUUGGUAGGGUAAAAGCCUACCAAGGCGACGAUCCAUAGCUGGUCUGAGAGGAUGAUCAGCCACACUGGGACUGAGACACGGCCCAGACUCCUACGGGAGGCAGCAGUGGGGAAUAUUGGACAAUGGGCGAAAGCCUGAUCCAGCAAUGCCGCGUGAGUGAUGAAGGCCUUAGGGUUGUAAAGCUCUUUUACCCGGGAUGAUAAUGACAGUACCGUGAGAAUAAGCUCCGGCUAACUCCGUG
Molecule: ribosomal RNA, 433 nt
Filed under: uncultured bacterium
Lineage: Bacteria
Description: partial 16S ribosomal RNA
Rfam family: Bacterial small subunit ribosomal RNA
Source: RNAcentral